Molecule: long non-coding RNA, 1078 nt
Organism: Oncorhynchus nerka (sockeye salmon)
Lineage: Eukaryota; Metazoa; Chordata; Actinopteri; Salmoniformes; Salmonidae
Exons: 3
Source: RefSeq, a predicted model, not a curated record
UAUAGCAACUUCAUUCACUCUUCUUCUACUAACUACUUGCUCGCGAUAGUUUUAGAGAAAACUGCUGUGGAAAAUUCGGCCAGAGUAUCAAGUGAAUCCACAACAUCACCACAACGUAUUUUCAAGCCAGAAAGGUUCAUGGAUAACAGUAGCCGUGGAAAGGAAGACUGGAUACGAAGAAGAGUGAAGGAGACAGGAGGAAAGACAGAUGCCCUGUUGUCCUGCGAACAAUGUUUGAAGAUCCACUGACUGAACUUUGGCUGGCCUUUGUCAAUGGAAACCUGACCGUAAUUCAGUGACACGAUCAAGAUGCUUAAAGGCCAGGACCGCUGUGCUGUGGAGUCCGCUGCAAUUCUGAGAAACUUUGAGGCAAAAUUGACUGCAAGACGUGACGACAACAACUUCAUUACAGUUUUGGUCAGAGGACUUCUGAGAGAGCUAGAGGGAAAUGGAGCCAUGUCUAAAGAGAGCUUUCUCAAAACAUCCCAAUCGUUCUUCACUAUGGCUGUGAACUACUUGCAAGCAUGGGGAAAGCACACAGAUAAUCUAAAAGAUUUACAUUGUCUCCUUUUAAAAAGGCAACCUCUGCGUUAAGAGAUCCAGAAGGUACACUGCAGGAAAAAUUCCCCAAUGUGACCAUCAAUGAGGAUGCAUUGUGUGACGAGGUUACUGGCCUGCAAGAGUUCCUAAAGGGGGGAUCGCUUGAAGAAUGGAAAACAUCUGAGACACCGCUUAGUCAGAGAGGGAGUACGGUGGUUACCCACUUCAAAGCGAGUGACAUCCCACACACUAACCUAGCUAGAUUAGAGAUGAUGAUCUCGCCAUCACGGUUGACAACUCCAUUGUGUCCUCGUCCCAGAGCGCUAAGAACCUUGGCGUGAUCCUGGACAACAACCUGUCGUUCUCAAAUAACAUCAAGGCGGUGGCCCGUUCCUGUAGGUUCAUGCUCUACAACAUCCGCAGAGUACGACCCUGCCUCACACAGGAAGCGGCGCAGGUCCUAAUCCAGGCACUUGUCAUCUCCCGUCUGGAUUACUGCAACUCGCUGUUGGCUGGGCUCCCUGCCUGUGCCAUUAAA